UGCCUAUGUUCUACAAAGUAACCACAUCAGUUAUACAAAGAAUGGAACUUAACAGAAAAAACUACAUGAACCAGUUGAAAGUUGUGAAUCCACCUUGUCAAUGUCAUGAUACACAAUCUGAACUUUCGGUUGAGCCAUCAACUCCUCAUACAGUCAUACGGAAUCAAAAAGUCAGGCCACUCGGGAAAUAACUGGAAUCGAUUGUAUCCAACAUUUUCCACAAAGAUGCCAUCCAAGGAUCCAGGGCAGCUUCAUAUCUAUCCACAUAAA
Molecule: long non-coding RNA, 270 nt
Filed under: Fragaria vesca (wild strawberry)
Lineage: Eukaryota; Viridiplantae; Streptophyta; Magnoliopsida; Rosales; Rosaceae
Description: long non-coding RNA (FVES_LNC003456)
Source: RNAcentral